Non-coding RNA from Salmo salar (Atlantic salmon), 107 nucleotides. The record is from RefSeq and is a predicted model, not a curated record. NCBI's taxonomy places the organism in Eukaryota, Metazoa, Chordata, Actinopteri, Salmoniformes, Salmonidae.
GAUACGUCAACACAGCACAGAAAGCUUAACACCAGACUGGUAUUGUGGUUGUUCAUUAGGUGAUGGGAAAUAUGCAAUAUGUAUACAAAAUAAUAUACUUACCUGUU